UAAACGAGUUACAAUGAAAUU
RNAcentral lists this non-coding RNA (21 nucleotides) under Caenorhabditis elegans. Lineage: Eukaryota; Metazoa; Nematoda; Chromadorea; Rhabditida; Rhabditidae. The record is from RNAcentral.